CAAGGGCGUAUAUUAAUGUUGUUGCAGUUAAAAAGCUCGUAGUUGGAUUUCUGGUUGAAGCGACCGGUCGGGCGUUGAUUCGUCUGCACUGGAGUCGGUUUUGGCCAUCCUCUAGGAAAGUGCGUCUGGUAUUAAGUUAUCGGGCGUAUGAUCCUGGUCUUUUACUGUGAAAAAAUUAGAGUGUUUAAAGCAGGCCUUCGCCUUGAAUACAUUAGCAUGGAAUAAUAAGAUAGGACUUUGGUCUAUUUUGUUGGUUUGCAGACCGAAGUAAUGAUUAAUAGGGAUAGUUGGGGGUAUUUAUAUUCCGAUGUCAGAGGUGAAAUUCUUAGAUUUUCGGAAGAUAAACUUAUGCGAAAGCAUUUACCAAGGAUGUUUUCAUUAA
Molecule: ribosomal RNA, 382 nt
Filed under: uncultured eukaryote
Lineage: Eukaryota
Description: partial 18S ribosomal RNA
Rfam family: Eukaryotic small subunit ribosomal RNA
Source: RNAcentral